RNAcentral lists this transfer-messenger RNA (356 nucleotides) under Mollicutes bacterium. It matches the Rfam family "transfer-messenger RNA". From Rfam's summary of the family: Bacterial tmRNA, also known as 10Sa RNA or SsrA, is named for its dual tRNA and mRNA-like properties. Its role is to liberate the mRNA from a stalled ribosome. To accomplish this part of the tmRNA is used as a reading frame that ends in a translation stop signal. RNAcentral also lists the same sequence under 1 other name. The record is from RNAcentral. Lineage: Bacteria; Bacillati; Mycoplasmatota; Mollicutes.
GGGGUCGUCAUUGGGUUCGACAGAGUAUGGCUCUAUUUAAAACGCAGGUGGUAGUUAUGCCUUAAAUAGCAAACUUAAAUUUUAAAUGACAACGAAUUAAAUUUCGCUCCUGCAUUCGCCUAACAUAGGUGGUGGGAGGUUUCUUCUUGCUUUUUCUCAUAGGGUAGGUAAGAAGCUCAUAAAUAUGAGAUAUAUUGAGCACUUCGUCUAAGAGUGUUUAAUGAAUGUAAUUAGACUUAGUUAAUUAGUGGUUAGUUAGAAACCAAACUGAUUAAUGAAAAUUAAUUCUAACUAAACCUGUAGACAUUAUUUAGUAAGUACUUUGGACGCGAGUUCAAAUCUCGCCGACUCCACCA